AUUGAACGCUGGCGGCAGGCCUAACACAUGCCAGUCGAACGGUAACAGGAAACAGCUUGCUGUUUCGCUGACGAGUGGCGGACGGGUGAGUAAUGUCUGGGAAACUGCCUGAUGGAGGGGGAUAACUACUGGAAACGGUAGCUAAUACCGCAUAACGUCGCAAGACCAAAGAGGGGGACCUUCGGGCCUCUUGCCAUCGGAUGUGCCCAGAUGGGAUUAGCUAGUAGGUGGGGUAACGGCUCACCUAGGUGACGAUCCCUAGCUGGUCUGAGAGGAUGACCAGCCACACUGGAACUGAGACACGGUCCAGACUCCUACGGGAGGCAGCAGUGGGGAAUAUUGCACAAUGGGCGCAAGCCUGAUGCAGCCAUGCCGCGUGUAUGAAGAAGGCCUUCGGGUUGUAAAGUACUUUCAGCGGGGAGGAAGGGAGUAAAGUUAAUACCUUUGCUCAUUGACGUUACCCGCAGAAGAAGCACCGGCUAACUCCGUG
RNAcentral lists this ribosomal RNA (490 nucleotides) under uncultured bacterium. RNAcentral describes it as "partial 16S ribosomal RNA". It matches the Rfam family "Bacterial small subunit ribosomal RNA", at positions 30 to 507 of the family's 1533-position model. The record is from RNAcentral.